Molecule: long non-coding RNA, 641 nt
Organism: Monomorium pharaonis (pharaoh ant)
Lineage: Eukaryota; Metazoa; Arthropoda; Insecta; Hymenoptera; Formicidae
Exons: 2
Source: RefSeq, a predicted model, not a curated record
UGUUCUGUUCACUCUCGGAUACUGUGCACCACGUGAUUGUGUUGUUAAGGCGUUGGCCUGUCGAUAAUUAAUCAAUUAAUACAGCAGGUAACAACAUGGCACAGCACUUUGUAUUCCAACGGAUAACUACUUGUAAUUAGACGUGCAUCGCGAGGUAUGACUACGUUUUCCACGUUAAUUUCGCUUCGUGACGUUAGUCGCGAAAGAAAAAUGCAUUACCGUAAAUUUGAUGUAACGCUAAACAGCAUAGGGAUAAUAAUAACGUAUAAAGCCACAUCUUUUCUCUGUAUUUCUUUCGAGUUAAUUGCGCACGGACAACACCCUUGACAUGACUACUCCGAAUUGUAACGAACUACACCCAACUCUACAACACGCGUCACGCAGGCCAUUCAUUAAACGAGGACGGAAUGAACGAUUCGACGCUAUGAGUCUGUUCGUCGCGCAGACUUUUGCAUGUGUAGAUAUAUUAAAAGAAAAAAACGACAAUAAAAAUGAAAAAGAAGAUAUAUACUUGAAAUAUAGAAGAAGAAAGGAAAAGAAGAAAAAUAAUGUAAAAGAAUAAUAAAAACUACAAGCGAGGAAAACAGAUAUUUACUUCUUUGCGGGUAUGUCACGUUGCACUUUCUGUACUUAAAGUGAAA